This 62-nucleotide transfer RNA is filed under the name Megaginus tataupensis. Its description in RNAcentral is "tRNA-Tyr". Lineage: Eukaryota; Metazoa; Arthropoda; Insecta; Psocodea; Heptapsogasteridae. The record is from RNAcentral.
AGAGGAGUAGUUUAAAAGAACGGAAUGCUGUAAACAUUAAAGAGGAAACUUUCCCUCCUCUA